RNAcentral lists this ribosomal RNA (427 nucleotides) under uncultured bacterium. Its description in RNAcentral is "bacterial SSU rRNA". It matches the Rfam family "Bacterial small subunit ribosomal RNA", at positions 355 to 774 of the family's 1533-position model. The record is from RNAcentral.
UGGGGAAUAUUGGACAAUGGGCGCAAGCCUGAUCCAGCCAUGCCGCGUGAGUGGAGAAGGCCUUCGGGUUGUAAACUGCUUUUGUACGGAACGAAAAGCCCUUCUCUAAUACAGAGGGGUCAUGACGGUACCGUAAGAAUAAGCACCGGCUAACUACGUGCCAGCAGCCGCGGUAAUACGUAGGGUGCAAGCGUUAAUCGGAAUUACUGGGCGUAAAGCGUGCGCAGGCGGUGAUGUAAGACAGAUGUGAAAUCCCCGGGCUCAACCUGGGAACUGCAUUUGUGACUGCAUCGCUGGAGUGCGGCAGAGGGGGAUGGAAUUCCGCGCGUAGCAGUGAAAUGCGUAGAUAUGCGGAGGAACACCGAUGGCGAAGGCAAUCCCCUGGGCCUGCACUGACGCUCAUGCACGAAAGCGGGGGGAGAAAACA